Prunus persica (peach) is the source of this 2160-nucleotide RNA transcript. It is a transcript of the gene named beta-glucuronosyltransferase GlcAT14B, with no coding region annotated. The record is from RefSeq and is a predicted model, not a curated record. NCBI's taxonomy places the organism in Eukaryota, Viridiplantae, Streptophyta, Magnoliopsida, Rosales, Rosaceae. The transcript has 5 exons.
UGCAGUGAGUGUCUUUAACCUUAACGCAUAGGGCCCAGAGAAUUAUUUUUUCCAGCUAAUUAGCCCUCUCUCUCUGGCCAAUGGCCAUUGAUUGACAACCGCGUGUUUGAUUCUUCUUCAAUAGAAAUAUGAGUCACACCACAAACCUCACUGCUAAAAAGUCACUCUCCAACAAAAAAAAAAAAAAGCACACGCACUGUGCACACAGUCCCUCUCAACAGUAACUUCUCUCUCUCUCAACGGUACGCAAUCACAUUCCCAGACGAAUCUCAUGCUUUACUGUUUAGCAACUAAAUAAAUCACAUUCUCAUAUAAAUCAUAAUCUCAUUUACCCACUAAACCACAGAAAAAGAAAAGUUAAAAAAGAAGACAAUGUAUACCAAAUAGGUUCAUUCAUUCCGUGAACCCCACCAACCAGAUUGUGCAACCAACACCGUCUCUCAGCACAGAUCCCCUAGGAGCACUUCCCCAUAUCCUGCGCCGCCCAACCCAGGAAAAAAAAAAACCCAAACUUGAUAAAUUUAUCGUUUUGUUUAGAAGCAGAAGAAAAGCUGCUUUUUUUUUUUUUCUUUUCUUGCUAGCUAGCCUAGCUUUGGUUCUUGUUCUUCUGUUUUUGUCGGCAUGGAGACCAACAAGCCACAGAAGAAAAAGAACUGGUUUUUACCAUUGGUGCUUUCUUUGUUGUUAUCUACUCUGCUCAUAUUUAUCACUGUUUUCACUUCUUCUAGAUCAUCUUCUUCAAGAUUGUACAAGACCCGUGUGAAGAAUGAGCUCCCGCAUUUUGUGGAGUCCAAGUUAAAGGUUUCAGCUACCUCCAAAGACCCAGUACCAAGACUGGCUUACUUGAUCUCUGGCUCAAUGGGCGACGGCGAGAGCUUGAAGAGGACCUUGAAGGCUCUGUACCAUCCCAGGAAUCAAUAUGCAGUGCAUUUGGACCUCGAGGCUUCGGCUGAGGAGAGGAUGGACUUGGCCAAGUUUGUCAAGAAUGAGCCGCUGUUUACCAAAUUGGGUAAUGUUAGAGCGGUUGUGAGGGCCAAUUUGGUAACUUACAGAGGCCCUACUAUGGUUACCAAUACACUUCACGCUGCGGCGAUUUUGUUGAAGGAAGGUGGAGAUUGGGAUUGGUUUAUCAAUUUGAGUGCUUCCGAUUAUCCUUUAGUGACCCAAGAUGAUCUGCUUCAUGUCUUGUCAUCCAUUCCAAGAAAUCUUAAUUUUAUUGAGCAUACCAGUGACAUUGGCUGGAAGGAGAAUCAGAGGGCAAAACCCGUUAUAAUUGAUCCAGGGCUGUAUAGCCUGCAAAAAUCAGAUGUAUUCUGGGUUUCAGAGAAAAGGAGCGUGCCAACUGCAUAUAAGUUGUUUACAGGUUCUGCUUGGAUGAUGCUCUCCCGCCCUUUUAUAGAGUAUAUUUUAUGGGGUUGGGACAACCUCCCAAGGAUAGUGCUUAUGUAUUAUGCCAACUUUCUUUCUUCACCAGAAGGGUAUUUCCACACUGUCAUCUGCAAUGCUGAGGAGUUUCGGAACACUACUGUGAACCAUGAUCUCCACUUCAUAUCAUGGGACACCCCGCCAAAACAACAUCCACAUUUCCUCGUCAGUGAUGACUUCCAGCGGAUGGUAGACAGCAAUGCUCCCUUCGCCAGGAAGUUUGGCAGGAAUGAGUCAGUUCUUGACAAGAUCGACUCUGAGCUUUUAGGCUGCAAUGCCGAUGGAUUUGUACCAGGUGGAUGGUUCGGUACUCAAGGAAAUGCAAAUGUAACUGUUCCAGAUUACAAUUUAAAAAACAUCACCACUUUUAGGCCGGGUCCAGGUGCUGAAAGGCUAAAACGUCUCAUCACUGGUUUGAUAUCUGCAGAGGAUUUUCACGCAAAGCAAUGCACCUGACUCCUGAGAGUCCAGAUAAACUACUAUGCUAAUUUUAGAAGUUAUACCAAGUAAGCAAUGCCGAUUAUUGAUCUUAGUUUAUAUUAAUAAUGGCCAAUAAGGCAUAUAGUAGGCUAUAGGAACUUAGUGGGGAAGAGAAGUUACUAGCUACCAUCAUAUAUAUGUGCAUUACCAUAUCUGGUAAUAUUCAGUACCAUAUUCUUCUAGUUCAAAAGCUGAAGGUGUACUUUAAUGUAUUAUUUAAUUUACAUAAUGAUAAGUGAUGUUGAAUCAUGCUUA